GGAGUUAGCCGGUGCUUCUUCUGCGAGUAACGUCACAGAUGUAAGGUAUUAACUUACACCCUUUCCUCCUCGCUGAAAGUGCUUUACAACCCGAAGGCCUUCUUCACACACGCGGCAUGGCUGCAUCAGGGUUUCCCCCAUUGUGCAAUAUUCCCCACCUGCUGCCUCCCGUAGGAGUCUGGGCCGGUGUCUCAGUCCCACGUGUGGCUGAUCAUCCUCUCAGACCAGCUAGGGAUCGUCGCCUAGGUGAGCCUUUACCUCACCUACUAGCUAAUCCCACCUGGGCUUAUCCAUCAGCGCAAGGCCCGAAGGUCCCCUGCUUUCCCCCGUAGGGCGUAUGCGGUAUUAGCAGUCGUUUCCAACUGUUAUCCCCCACAAAUGGGCAAAUUCCCAGGCAUUACUCACCCGUCCGCCGCUCGUCAUCUUCAAAAGCAAGCUUUUGAAAUGUUACCGCUCGACUUGCAUGUGUUAGGCCUGCCGCCAGCGUUCAAUCUGAACCAAGAUCAAAUUCUGA
Molecule: ribosomal RNA, 514 nt
Filed under: uncultured bacterium
Lineage: Bacteria
Description: partial 16S ribosomal RNA
Source: RNAcentral